GUCGGUCAGUUGGUUAUGAAUUC
Molecule: microRNA, 23 nt
Filed under: Tribolium castaneum (red flour beetle)
Lineage: Eukaryota; Metazoa; Arthropoda; Insecta; Coleoptera; Tenebrionidae
Description: Tca-Mir-3809_3p* (star (passenger))
Source: RNAcentral